GUUAAAUAAAAAAAAAUAAGACUCUAAACUCAAAUAAAAAAUAAUGAACCUUCAACCUCAAAUUCCUAUUUGAACAACUUUUUAUUGGUAUUGAUCCAUUUGAAUCAUUACUAAACUAAAAUAGCUUACUCAAUCUCGACGAUUGCUUAUUCAUAGGCAAUUAUGAGUUCAAGACAAGCCGCUAUGGUGAAAUCGGUAGACACGC
This 205-nucleotide long non-coding RNA is filed under the name Solanum melongena (eggplant). RNAcentral describes it as "long non-coding RNA (SMEL_LNC000072)". Lineage: Eukaryota; Viridiplantae; Streptophyta; Magnoliopsida; Solanales; Solanaceae. The record is from RNAcentral.